Molecule: ribosomal RNA, 494 nt
Filed under: uncultured bacterium
Lineage: Bacteria
Description: partial 16S ribosomal RNA
Rfam family: Bacterial small subunit ribosomal RNA
Source: RNAcentral
ACUCAAAGGAAUUGACGGGGACCCGCACAAGCGGUGGAUCAUGUGGUUUAAUUCGAAGCAACGCGAAAAACCUUACCAAGACUUGACAUUUUAGUUACGGGAAUUCUAGAAAUAGUUUUCUUAUACGAAAAACAGGUGCUGCAUGGUUGUCGUCAGCUCGUGUCGUGAGAUGUUGGGUUAAGUCCCGCAACGAGCGCAACCCUCGUUCUUAGUUGCUAUAACUUUGUUAUAGUUCUUUAAGAAGACUGCCAGCGAUAAGUUGGAGGAAGGUGGGGAUGACGUCAAACCCUCAUGGCCCUUAUGUCUUGGGCUACACACGUGAUACAAUGGUUGGUACAAAGAGCUGCUAAGUCGCAAGACCAAGCGAAUCUCAAAAAGCCAAUCUCAGUUCGGAUUGGAGUCUGCAACUCGACUCCAUGAAGCUGGAAUCGCUAGUAAUCGCAAAUCAGCAUGUUGCGGUGAAUACGUUCCCGGGUCUUGUACACACCGCCCGU